Long non-coding RNA from Amphimedon queenslandica, 164 nucleotides. RefSeq lists it as uncharacterized. The transcript has 2 exons. NCBI's taxonomy places the organism in Eukaryota, Metazoa, Porifera, Demospongiae, Haplosclerida, Niphatidae. The record is from RefSeq and is a predicted model, not a curated record.
AGAAUCUGACAGAUAUCAAAACACUAGAAUACACCAAAGAAACCUAACGACCUUACUAGUUGAAUCUUCUUUUAAUUACUGUGUCAUGGAAAGUGAGUCCUGAAGUUGGGGAAAUUCCAGCAAUCCUGGCAUCACCACAGGAAAUACCACAGGACCCCAAAAAA